CUCGCCCCGCGCCCUUCGCGCCGCCGGAAGUGCAGGCCGAGCCGUUCGCCUGCGCCGCGCGGUCGCUCUAGGAUCCUGGCGGAGUGACCCUCUAUGCUCACGGGCCCAGCGGAAAAAAGCAACUUUUCGUUUCUUCCUGUCGUUUUGUUUUCCUCUCCUACCCCUGGAAGGCGUCCUGUGGCCCCCAGGACCACAAGACCUUUGAGAUGGAGGAGCCACCCACAGGGCCGACGAGCUGCAGCCUGUGUGUCACGGCUUUUGAAACGCAACACCAGCCUAUCCCACCCUGAGACUUCAUUCUUUUACAAAUAUUGUUUAAUUAUUAUAUAGAGGUACUUUUGGAGAGCCUAAACUGUUCCCGAUAUUUUUCAUGAGUCAACUUAUUUGAUUAUACCAAAAAGCCCUUACAAAAUGGGAACGAUCAUACUCAUUUUACAGCCAACCUCCUUCUCCGCCAACCUAACCUGUGCUGGGUCACCCCAUCUCCUCUCUUCUCUCCGGGCCCUCGUUUGCCUGCAGAACUCCUUCAGUCUAAUGGCUUCAGAUACCAUCUGUAGUCGCUGAAGACUCCCUAACUGGUAACUCCAGUCCAACCUUGGGAUGCAAAUAUUACUGAACUCUAGACUUAUAUAUCCAGUUAAUUACUCAAUGCCAUUUGCACGUGUGAUGGACAUCCCGAACCUAACAUACCCCCAGAUAUUCACCUAACCUGAUAGAAGAUCUUUCUGGGAAAACUGGGUCAAGAGAGGCCAGAUCCCUUAAUGGCUGGGGUUCCUCUGGGAAACGGCUCGCAGUGGGGUCCAGUGUGUCCCUGAGCCCAGUUGUAUUUGAAGGGCUCAUUCUAGGAAGAAGAGGCUUCUGGGCUGAGAACAGUCUUGGCAAGACAGCUUCCUUUUACUAUGGCUUUGUCCCUUGCACCCCACUCCCUUGCAGACAGACAGAGACACACACCAAAAAGCACUGUCUCAACAGGGAGCACUGCUGCCUUGGGUCUGCAUUUGGCAACAGUGCAAAAGAAGCCAGUCACAUGUGUGGUCCAAGGGCCAAGUGCAGUAAGCAGCAGUCUGUCUCCCAUGAAGGGCCCCUGAACAAGGGUUCUGUCCACCAAGUCUGAGACUUUGCUUUCUGUUUCCUUUGGGUUCUCUGGGAAAGGAGACUCUGGGAAUUCCCAUUCCUGAGUUUGCAGAAAACAUCUCUGUUAAAAGCCCAGCCAGGAGGGAGCAGAGCCCCACCCGAAUGCUGGGAGUCCAAGGGCGGGUCAGCAGCUGGCUUUCUCCCAGACAAUCACAGCUCAUGGGGGCUAAAUACAGCACUUGUACUUGCUGUUUUUACAUUUGGAAAGGCUUGAGUCCGACUGCCUUUCCUGCCCUAUCAUGGCUGAGGGACUGAGGGGCAGGGAGGCUGCUGCCUAGCAGGGCACCUGACAAAAAUAUCCCACUGCUGCUUUGCAGCUGCAGGGCACCUGUGUCCUGCCCACAUGGGCACAUUGUGUAUUGCCAGCUUCUCCACAGAUCACCUGAUCCGACAGGAUAAGCCUCGUGCUUUGUUUCCCUAGGACUAAGGGGCCAGAUGUAUCCUGGGUGGACAAACAGCAUUAUUUUAACAGUGGGAAGGUCUUUAAUCCAUUUUCUUGUAAACAUUCUAAGCAGGUAGCAUAUGGUUAUCACCAUGGGAAAAACAAGCUCUUUUUUGAUUCCUUCUGGUAAUUUGCUCUGGGCAAAUCACCCUGUUUUUCCUGAGUUCAGAUCUUCUUUUGCAAUCAUGUUGAUUUUAUCCUGUGUUUAUGAUUUUCCCUGGUUCCGGAGGCCUGACCUGGGAAGACCGUCCUGUUUUAGGUGAGGACACUCAUCACAGGAAUUCUUCACUUUAUCUUUGGAUAACAUUUACUACCUGCGAUACCAUGGCCUGGAACCAACCCUGCAACAUCUCUGAGACGUUUUCCAUCAGCUGACAAACCCAGAUCGUUCUGCAUCUGGCCCCAGGGAAUUCAAAGCCCUUUCUCCUCAAACAGACAUUUUUCCCUUGGUGGCCCUUUGAUGGGAAGUAUUGAGAGAGGAGGAACGCACACCCAGAGAGGGCAGGAGGCACACAGGUGUCCGAGGAGAGCAGCAACGGGGCAGAGCGCGGCCUUCCCGAGCCACUGCCGGCGGUCCCUGGACAGCUCCUGGACCCACACGCACCCUGGCAGCAUCCUUUACAAUGCCACGCGGGUCACCUCCUCAAUGUGAUCAAAUUGACAUGUUUCUGGCAGCAAGCUCCUUGUAAGAAUCCCUUCAGGUCUUGCUGAGGAAGCUCAGAGUGAGUGUUGCAGAGAGAAGAUGGGCUGCUGGUGGUCUUACUCCCAGUCUGACCUCUGCUGCCGGGGCACGGGGCUAUGUGAGGCUCAUGGAGUGACAUCAGAGGCUCGAGGGCCAGGGACGCCAUGGUGAAGUGAUGGCUGGGAGCAUCGCACACCCCAUACCCGCUGGCAGCCCUUGCUUUGCCCAGCGGAGUUUCUGAGUGGCAGCAUGAGACGAGGGCAGACGGGGGUCGAGUGGCUCAUGUGUUUGAUGAGGAUAAGGGCUUGUGGUUCUGGGCUGGGCACUGGGAGAGCAGAUGGAGCCCACGCCCUAGCAACAAGGUCAUGUCCUGCUCUCCUGAGCAGGAGACGUGUGGAGUGAACAGAACUGGCCAUGCUAUGCAGCUACAUAAGUGGCCCAUGUCACAGCUUCAGGGCUGCUCACGGCCCAGGCCAGUCUCACACGCAGACCCCACCCAGCAAGUUCCUGGCUCCUCAGGCUUAGAUCUGGGCACUGUGAGUGCUCACCUUGGAGCCAAGAGCCAGGGACAUGGGACUCACGCUACCUAGGCAGGUGGACAGGUAGAAACACGGGUGCUGGAUUCCUCAGCCAGUGUGUCCAAUGUGUGUGACAAUCAGGGCCCGGCCACCAGCGCUCAGAGUGCGCUGGCUGCUGGGGGCUUCGGAAGAGGCAGGUGCUGGUGGGCUACUUGGCCUCCACCAGCUGCUCCAGGCGCUGUAGCAUCGUCAGACGCAGGGCUUGGAACCUGGAGGGAGACACAGCCAAGAGGACUCACUGCUACUGGAGGGGACAGGGAGGGGGCGAGCAAGGGAGCACGUAGAUGCUGGGCCCGGAGACCCACGGCUCCUGACCGGCUGAUUAGUGGCCACUAUGUCUCCUCUGCCAGGAGAGGGAAAAGCCAGGCCCACAUCCCACAAGACCACUGGCUUUGAGGAGCAGUCAAACAGGGCUGCAGAGCCUGCCAAGCUUCGAAGCAGAGUGAUCUUUCUAUUCCAAAGAUUCUCCAGUACAAGAUAUGGGGACAUAUGUAUAUGCAUAGCUGAUUCACUUUGUUAUAAAGCAGAAACUAACACACCAUUGUAAAGCAAUUAUACUCCAAUAAAGAUGUUAAA
Molecule: long non-coding RNA, 3412 nt
Organism: Lagenorhynchus albirostris (white-beaked dolphin)
Lineage: Eukaryota; Metazoa; Chordata; Mammalia; Artiodactyla; Delphinidae
Exons: 4
Source: RefSeq, a predicted model, not a curated record